CAGCCUAGCACUUACUGCACACAGACCAUCGUGACACGUCAAGGUCGCUGAUGAUGUCGUAGGCAUAUGGGCCCUCUGGGAGCUGAUAUAGUUUUUCAACCCUGCUUUGCCUGCCAGCUAGUAGACAUGAACAAGUGGAUGAAGGCAUUCUGGAUUUCGUGAAGGUUUCUCAUCUGGCUUUUAAAAAACCCAUCAACGUUGGAAAACCCAAGGCCUCUGUGAGCAUACCAUGGCCUUUAAAGAG
Long non-coding RNA from Eubalaena glacialis (North Atlantic right whale), 244 nucleotides. RefSeq lists it as uncharacterized. Lineage: Eukaryota; Metazoa; Chordata; Mammalia; Artiodactyla; Balaenidae. The record is from RefSeq and is a predicted model, not a curated record. The transcript has 3 exons.